GACAGAGGGUGCAAACGUUGCUCGGAAUUACUGGGCGUAAAGCGCGUGUAGGCGGACUGGUGUGUCGGAUGUGAAAUCCCCAGGCUCAACCUGGGAACUGCAUUCGAAACUGCCAGCCUUGAGUGGUGGAGAGGGAAGUGGAAUUCCUGGUGUAGAGGUGAAAUUCGUAGAUAUCAGGAGGAACACCGGUGGCGAAGGCGGCUUCCUGGACACCAACUGACGCUGAGACGCGAAAGCGUGGGGAGCAAACAGG
This 253-nucleotide ribosomal RNA is filed under the name uncultured bacterium. RNAcentral describes it as "partial 16S ribosomal RNA". It matches the Rfam family "Bacterial small subunit ribosomal RNA", at positions 524 to 776 of the family's 1533-position model. The record is from RNAcentral.